This is a long non-coding RNA of Gymnodraco acuticeps, 268 nucleotides long. RefSeq lists it as uncharacterized. Lineage: Eukaryota; Metazoa; Chordata; Actinopteri; Perciformes; Bathydraconidae. The transcript is spliced from 4 exons. The record is from RefSeq and is a predicted model, not a curated record.
UAAACGCCAGCAGCAGUCACUUGCUUUCUGCCUGCCUCGACCGUAACACCGACCUAACUGAUCACUUUCAACACGUGGAACCUCUCCUUGACUGGACUUUACAGGUGUCUCAGGCGGUAAACCCAUUUAAAGACUGGACUUGCAUCAGGUACUGGUCCUCUGCAUACUUCACCUGCUUUAUAACAAUGUUGUAAUGUGAUUUGCUUGUAUUAUGUUUUAAUAUUCUGCAUUUGCUUGGAUUUUUAAUCAAAUAAAAGCAUUACAAUUA